Molecule: small nuclear RNA, 161 nt
Filed under: Triticum aestivum (bread wheat)
Lineage: Eukaryota; Viridiplantae; Streptophyta; Magnoliopsida; Poales; Poaceae
Also listed under: 1 other name
Description: snRNA U1
Rfam family: U1 spliceosomal RNA
About the family: U1 is a small nuclear RNA (snRNA) component of the spliceosome (involved in pre-mRNA splicing). Its 5' end forms complementary base pairs with the 5' splice junction, thus defining the 5' donor site of an intron.
Source: RNAcentral
AUACUUACCUGGACGGGGUCGACGGCUGAUCAAGAAGAGUCGUGGCCUAGGCUAGUGGUCCACAUUGCACUUGGUGGAUGCGCUGGCCUACCAUCUCCCCAAGUGGGAGAGUGGACGUCGUAAUUUGUGAUAGAGGGGGUACGCGUUCGCGCGGCCCCUGC